Non-coding RNA from Dunaliella salina, 72 nucleotides. Lineage: Eukaryota; Viridiplantae; Chlorophyta; Chlorophyceae; Chlamydomonadales; Dunaliellaceae. The record is from the annotation of a GenBank genome assembly.
GCCGUUCUAGCUCAGGGGUAGAGCGACGCACUUGUAAUGCGUAGGUCAGUGGUUCAAAUCCGCUGUGCGGCA